Molecule: ribosomal RNA, 385 nt
Filed under: uncultured bacterium
Lineage: Bacteria
Description: bacterial SSU rRNA
Rfam family: Bacterial small subunit ribosomal RNA
Source: RNAcentral
AUUGAACGCUGGCGGAAUGCUUUACACAUGCAAGUCGAGCGGCAGCGCGGGGCAACCUGGCGGCGAGCGGCGAACGGGUGAGUAAUACAUCGGAACGUACCCAGUUGUGGGGGAUAGCCCGGCGAAAGCCGGAUUAAUACCGCAUACGACCUGAGGGUGAAAGGGGGGGAGUCGCAAGACCUCUCGCAGUUGGAGCGGCCGAUGGCGGAUUAGCUAGUUGGUAGGGUAAAGGCCUACCAAGGCGACGAUCCGUAGCUGGUCUGAGAGGACGACCAGCCACACUGGAACUGAGACACGGUCCAGACUCCUACGGGAGGCAGCAGUGGGGAAUUUUGGACAAUGGGGGCAACCCUGAUCCAGCCAUUCCGCGUGAGUGAAGAAGGCC